RNAcentral lists this ribosomal RNA (1342 nucleotides) under Salmonella enterica. Its description in RNAcentral is "partial 23S ribosomal RNA". It matches the Rfam family "Bacterial large subunit ribosomal RNA", at positions 1619 to 2925 of the family's 2925-position model. The record is from RNAcentral. Lineage: Bacteria; Pseudomonadati; Pseudomonadota; Gammaproteobacteria; Enterobacterales; Enterobacteriaceae.
CUCUAAGCAUCAGGUAACAUCAAAUCGUACCCCAAACCGACACAGGUGGUCAGGUAGAGAAUACCAAGGCGCUUGAGAGAACUCGGGUGAAGGAACUAGGCAAAAUGGUGCCGUAACUUCGGGAGAAGGCACGCUGACACGUAGGUGAAGUGAUUUACUCAUGGAGCUGAAGUCAGUCGAAGAUACCAGCUGGCUGCAACUGUUUAUUAAAAACACAGCACUGUGCAAACACGAAAGUGGACGUAUACGGUGUGACGCCUGCCCGGUGCCGGAAGGUUAAUUGAUGGGGUCAGCGCAAGCGAAGCUCCUGAUCGAAGCCCCGGUAAACGGCGGCCGUAACUAUAACGGUCCUAAGGUAGCGAAAUUCCUUGUCGGGUAAGUUCCGACCUGCACGAAUGGCGUAAUGAUGGCCAGGCUGUCUCCACCCGAGACUCAGUGAAAUUGAACUCGCUGUGAAGAUGCAGUGUACCCGCGGCAAGACGGAAAGACCCCGUGAACCUUUACUAUAGCUUGACACUGAACAUUGAGCCUUGAUGUGUAGGAUAGGUGGGAGGCUUUGAAGCGUGGACGCCAGUCUGCAUGGAGCCGGCCUUGAAAUACCACCCUUUAAUGUUUGAUGUUCUAACGUGGACCCGUGAUCCGGGUUGCGGACAGUGUCUGGUGGGUAGUUUGACUGGGGCGGUCUCCUCCUAAAGAGUAACGGAGGAGCACGAAGGUUGGCUAAUCCUGGUCGGACAUCAGGAGGUUAGUGCAAUGGCAUAAGCCAGCUUGACUGCGAGCGUGACGGCGCGAGCAGGUGCGAAAGCAGGUCAUAGUGAUCCGGUGGUUCUGAAUGGAAGGGCCAUCGCUCAACGGAUAAAAGGUACUCCGGGGAUAACAGGCUGAUACCGCCCAAGAGUUCAUAUCGACGGCGGUGUUUGGCACCUCGAUGUCGGCUCAUCACAUCCUGGGGCUGAAGUAGGUCCCAAGGGUAUGGCUGUUCGCCAUUUAAAGUGGUACGCGAGCUGGGUUUAGAACGUCGUGAGACAGUUCGGUCCCUAUCUGCCGUGGGCGCUGGAGAACUGAGGGGGGCUGCUCCUAGUACGAGAGGACCGGAGUGGACGCAUCACUGGUGUUCGGGUUGUCAUGCCAAUGGCACUGCCCGGUAGCUAAAUGCGGAAGAGAUAAGUGCUGAAAGCAUCUAAGCACGAAACUUGCCCCGAGAUGAGUUCUCCCUGAGACUUAGAGUCUCCUGAAGGAACGUUGAAGACGACGACGUUGAUAGGCCGGGUGUGUAAGCGCAGCGAUGCGUUGAGCUAACCGGUACUAAUGAACCGUGAGGCUUAACCUUACAACGCCGAAG